CGAACGCUUGCUGCAUGCUUUAUACAUGCAAGUCGAACGGAGGCCCUAGCUUGCUAGGUGUCCUUAGUGGCGCACGGGUGAGUAACACGUGGGAACAUACCUUAUAGUACGGAAUAACUGCGGGAAACUGUAGCUAAUACCGUAUACUCCAGUAAUGGGAAAGAUUUAUCGCUAUAAGAUUGGCCCGCGCAAGAUUAGCUUGUUGGUGAGGUAAAAGCUCACCAAGGCUUCGAUCUUUAGCUGGUUUGAGAGGACGAUCAGCCACACUGGGACUGAGACACGGCCCAGACUCCUACGGGAGGCAGCAGUAGGGAAUAUUGGACAAUGGGGGCAACCCUGAUCCAGCAAUGCAGCGUGAGUGACGAAGGCCUUAGGGUUGUAAAACUCUUUCAUCGGUGAGGAUAAUGACAGUAGCCGAAGAAGAAGGACCGGCUAAUUCCGU
This 442-nucleotide ribosomal RNA is filed under the name uncultured Alphaproteobacteria bacterium. Its description in RNAcentral is "bacterial SSU rRNA". It matches the Rfam family "Bacterial small subunit ribosomal RNA", at positions 30 to 506 of the family's 1533-position model. Lineage: Bacteria; Pseudomonadati; Pseudomonadota; Alphaproteobacteria. The record is from RNAcentral.